Molecule: ribosomal RNA, 253 nt
Filed under: uncultured bacterium
Lineage: Bacteria
Description: partial 16S ribosomal RNA
Rfam family: Bacterial small subunit ribosomal RNA
Source: RNAcentral
GACGUAGGGCGCGAGCGUUGUCCGGAAUUACUGGGCGUAAAGCGUGCGCAGGCGGUUCGUUAAGACAGGUGUGAAAUCCCCGGGCUCAACCUGGGAAUUGCGCUUGUAACUGGCAGGCUAGAGUGUGUCAGAGGGAGGUAGAAUUCCACGUGUAGCAGUGAAAUGCGUAGAGACGUGGAGGAAUACCGAUGGCGAAGGCAGCCUCCUGGGAUAACACUGACGCUCAUGCACGAAAGCGUGGGGAGCAAACAGG